UUUUAUUUUACGGUUUGAUUAAUUUUACUUAGAAAAUUUAUUUUUAGUAGUUUGAGCGAUAAUUGGAAGAUUUCCUAUAGGGUAAUAAGUACUGUGAGGGAAAGUUGUUUUAAUUUUUUGAAAUACUAGGUUUUUUAGUACCUUUUGUAUUAGGGUUUAUUAAUGUUGUGUUACGUUUGUUUUUUCUCGAUUAAUAUCGGGCUAUUUUUUCUUUUUUUAUUCUCGUUGUAUAGGGUUGAAUAGGUAAAUUAUAGGUAUGAAAUAUUAUUCAAGUUAUUUUUUAUCUAGUUUCUUAAGAGAUUUAAUAGAUAAUAAUUUUAUUAGUGCAAUAGAUAGGGAUUAGCUUAUUUAUUUUUUAUAUGGUUGUGUUUUUAUUAUUUGUUUGUUGAGUUGAUAGUGCUUAUUUAAAUGAAGUUAUUAUUGAGCAAAAGUUUUUUUAUAAUUUUAGUGUUUUAUUUGUAUAUUAGGGCUAAGUUUUUAAUUUUUAAAGGUUGGUGAUAAUGAUUGAAUUAGUAAUAUUGUCUUAAUUGUUUAAUCUGGGUUCUUAGGUUUAGGUUUGUGUGUUUUGGAUGUAAUUCUAAUUAGAAAUGAUGAAUUAGGCAAAUUUGAUCUCUGACUGUUUAGCAAAAACAUUGUUUUUUGUUGGGGUAAAAAAUAAUUUCUGUCCACUGCCAUUAAGGGUGAAGGGCUGCAGUAUUUUGACUGUACGAAGGUAGCAUAAUCAUUAGCUUUUUAAUUGGGGGCUGGUAUGAAGGUGAAACAGGGAUUUGCUGUAUUAUUUUUAUUGGUUGAAUUUUAUUUUCAUGUGAAAAAUCAUGAUUGUUUUAAAGGGACAAGAAGACCCUAAUAAAUUUUAUCUUUUUCUUUAAUGCGUGCAUAGUACUGAUUUGUGCAAUUUAUUUUUAUAGGGUUUAGCUGGGGCGGUGCUUUAUUUAACAUAAAUUUAUUUUUAACUUAGUGUGGCGUGAUUCAGACCUAGAUUGUUUAGAUGUUCGAAUAAUUACUGUAGGGAUAACAGCGUAAUUUUGUUUGAGAGUUCUUAUUGACAAUAAAGUUUGCGACCUCGAUGUUGGAUUAAGAAGAGC
This 1085-nucleotide ribosomal RNA is filed under the name Boraria infesta. Its description in RNAcentral is "partial large subunit ribosomal RNA". Lineage: Eukaryota; Metazoa; Arthropoda; Diplopoda; Polydesmida; Xystodesmidae. The record is from RNAcentral.